RNAcentral lists this ribosomal RNA (492 nucleotides) under uncultured bacterium. RNAcentral describes it as "partial 16S ribosomal RNA". It matches the Rfam family "Bacterial small subunit ribosomal RNA", at positions 29 to 507 of the family's 1533-position model. The record is from RNAcentral.
AGUGAACGCUGGCGGCAGGCCUAACACAUGCAAGUCGAACGGCAGCACAGUAAGAGCUUGCUCCUACGGGUGGCGAGUGGCGGACGGGUGCGGAAUACAUCGGAAUCUACUUUUUCGCGGGGGAUAACGUAGGGAAAUUUACGCUAAUACCGCAUACUACCUACGGGUGAAAGCAGGGGAUCUUCGGACCUUGCGCGAUUGAAUGAGCCGAUGUCGGAUUAGCUAGUUGGCGGGGUAAAGGCCCACCAAGGCGACGAUCCGUAGCUGGUCUGAGAGGAUGAUCAGCCACACUGGAACUGAGACACGGUCCAGACUCCUACGGGAGGCAGCAGUGGGGAAUAUUGGACAAUGGGCGCAAGCCUGAUCCAGCCAUACCGCGUGGAUGAUGAAGGCCUUCGGGUUGUAAAGCGCUUUUGUUGGGAAAGAAAAGCAGCAGGUUAAUACCCGGCUGUUCUGACGGUACCCAAAGAAUAAGCACCGGCUAACUUCGUG